UACGGUGAAUACGUUCCCGGACCUUGCACACACCGCCCGUCAAGCCAUGGAAGCCGGGUGUACCUAAAGUCGGUAACCGUAAGGAGCCGCCUAGGGUAAAACUAGUGACUGGGGCU
Molecule: ribosomal RNA, 116 nt
Filed under: uncultured bacterium
Lineage: Bacteria
Description: partial 16S ribosomal RNA
Rfam family: Bacterial small subunit ribosomal RNA
Source: RNAcentral